RNAcentral lists this ribosomal RNA (214 nucleotides) under Anaerolineales bacterium. RNAcentral describes it as "partial 23S ribosomal RNA". It matches the Rfam family "Bacterial large subunit ribosomal RNA", at positions 2712 to 2925 of the family's 2925-position model. Lineage: Bacteria; Bacillati; Chloroflexota; Anaerolineae; Anaerolineales. The record is from RNAcentral.
GUGUGUCAGUUGUCGUGCCAACGGCAUCGCUGAGUAGCUACGUCUGGCAAAGAUAACCGCUGAAAGCAUCUAAGUGGGAAACUUGCCCCAAGAUUAGAUCCCUCAUCCCGUUAAGGGAGUAAGGCCGCAGAAAGACCAUCUGCUUGAUAGGCAGCAAGUGUAAGCGCAGUAAUGCGUUCAGCUAAGCUGUACUAAUGGCCGAGGGCUUAAUUUG